This 346-nucleotide long non-coding RNA is filed under the name Lathyrus oleraceus (garden pea). RNAcentral's name for it is "Pisum sativum (pea) long non-coding RNA (PSAT_LNC035607)". The record is from RNAcentral. Lineage: Eukaryota; Viridiplantae; Streptophyta; Magnoliopsida; Fabales; Fabaceae.
UCAACUUCUCACACGGUUCAUCCAACAAAUUUUCAGCAUUCACAAUUCCCAAUUAGGGUCAAAUUAACAGCUUAUUACUACCCAUCACAUAUUCUCCCAUAAUACCCAUUAAUCGAGAUAAACCCCCCUUACCUUGACAAUCCGGCAGAAUCUUUGAGCUUCAAGCUUUCGUUCUCCAACCUUUGCUCUUCAGCUCCUCUUCUCUGCCCUUUUUCCUUUUUCUCUCACGAUGCUUCUCUGUUCUGUUUUCACGUGAAAUGCUUUUCCAAAUGAGAACUUUUCCUUAUUCCAACAUAUAUAUAUUUUCCCAAAAUAAUAAUAAUCCAAAAAUAAUAAUAAUAAAAUU